Molecule: long non-coding RNA, 866 nt
Organism: Homo sapiens (human)
Lineage: Eukaryota; Metazoa; Chordata; Mammalia; Primates; Hominidae
Gene: PVT1
Product: Pvt1 oncogene
Source: Ensembl
AGUAACUUGUUCAACCUGGGAAUGGCAGAGCUGGGAUCUGAAGUCCGGGAGCCUGGCUCCGUAGGCCUCUGUUUAAGCCACUGCAUCUGUUGCCUUGUGGAAUGUUCUUAGAACUGUAGGAUACUGGUUCCCACAUGGCCGAGAGUCUUCUCUCACUAGUUCGUGCUCCAUGGUGAUGGAGAAGCAUAGUUCUAAUCUGUCAUUCUGUUGCUCUGGAGCCUACACAGCCCCCCAUCGCAUCUGGAGGGAGAAGCCCAGCUCCUUAGCACAGCACCUGAGAAAUACCCUUUACAGUCUGGCCACUGGCUGAACAUUCUUUCACUCUCCAUGCCACACUGCUCUAGCCAGUCUUGGUGCUCUGUGUUCACCUGGUUCAUCUGAGGAGCUGCAUCUACCCUGCCCAUGCCAUAGAUCCUGCCCUGUUUGCUUCUCCUGUUGCUGCUAGUGGACAUGAGGACAGAAUAACGGGCUCCCAGAUUCACAAGCCCCACCAAGAGGAUCACCCCAGGAACGCUUGGAGGCUGAGGAGUUCACUGAGGCUACUGCAUCUUGAGACUCAGGAUGAAGACCCAGCUUGGGGCUGUCAAAGGUUUUUUGCAUGUCUGACACCCAUGACUCCACCUGGACCUUAUGGCUCCACCCAGAAGCAAUUCAGCCCAACAGGAGGACAGCUUCAACCCAUUACGAUUUCAUCUCUGCCCCAACCACUCAGCAGCAAGCACCUGUUACCUGUCCACCCCCACCCCUUCCCCCAAACUGCCUUUGAAAAAUCCCUAACCUAUGAGCUUUGAAUAAGAUGAGUACGAACUUCAUCGCCCACGUGGCGUGGCCGGCCUCGUGUCUAUUAAAUUCUUUUUCUACUACAA